RNAcentral lists this non-coding RNA (27 nucleotides) under Cricetulus griseus (Chinese hamster). Lineage: Eukaryota; Metazoa; Chordata; Mammalia; Rodentia; Cricetidae. The record is from RNAcentral.
AACAUACAUGUAGACAGCAAAUUAAAC